UUCUUCAUGUGUUAGAAGAGAUGCCCAGGGGGGAAAAGCAAACUCUCAAUGUCUCCUUAUUUAUCCUGUUUUCAGAUUUACUUCCCCGAACAAUAUGUCUGUGCGAUGUCACAGAGCACGGACACAUCGCCUGACGUCCUCAGAGAUGGUCUAGAAUGGUUAUAUGUUGUACAAAAUGUUCUCGGUGGUGUUCAUUCAAACACUGAAAAAGAGUGAUACUCUCAAACGUAUGCAUUAUGCUCUUUUUACAUACGAUAGACGCUGGCCUGGCCACCAAAACGACAUCAAAUUGACCUUGUGCAGAUUCUUGCGCCACAUAUUACUCUCAGGUUUACCUGAGACCAUAGGGGACACAGUCUUGGAGAAACAUGCAAAUGGUCAUCAGAGGAAAAAGCGGAUACACAGUUGAGAGUGCUUGCAGAAGAGGAGAAACACAUUUGGACAGGAUUCAUGUGGACCUGAUGAGCGAUGAGGAGAAUGGCCUGCAAAACCGCAAACCAGUAUGAUUCAUCAAGCCCCAGUACUUCCGGAGUGAGGUGUUCACUGCCCUUUGUCAUGAACUACAGAGCUGCUUGAAGAGGGACCAGAGGUACUUGGGAAGGCACACCGCACUGAUCAUUUCUGGGGAUUUUUCAUCAACGCAACCUAUCAACACUAUAGUAACUCCAAUGGAGGCUCGCACUGGGCCAAGCUGGAUGACUCCUGUCGGUAAAUUUUCUUGAUUAUUUUGAAAACCCUUUUGUGUAUCUUAGAAUUUUGAAUAGACUUGUGCAUAUU
This is a long non-coding RNA of Oncorhynchus gorbuscha (pink salmon), 777 nucleotides long. RefSeq lists it as uncharacterized. The transcript is spliced from 3 exons. The record is from RefSeq and is a predicted model, not a curated record. NCBI's taxonomy places the organism in Eukaryota, Metazoa, Chordata, Actinopteri, Salmoniformes, Salmonidae.